GACGAACGCUGGCGGCGUGCUUAACACAUGCAAGUCGAACGGAAAGGCCCUGCUUUUGUGGGGUGCUCGAGUGGCGAACGGGUGAGUAACACGUGAGUAACCUGCCCUUGACUUUGGGAUAACUUCAGGAAACUGGGGCUAAUACCGGAUAUGAGCUCCUGCUGCAUGGUGGGGGUUGGAAAGUUUCGGCGGUUGGGGAUAGACUCGCGGCUUAUCAGCUUGUUGGUGGGGUAGUGGCUUACCAAGGCUUUGACGGGUAGCCGGCCUGAGAGGGUGAACGGCCACAUUGGAGCUGCGAUACGGCACAAACUCGUACAGGAGGCAGCAGUGGAGAAGAUUGCACAAUGGGCGGAAGCCUGCUGCAGCAACGCCGCGUGCGGGAUGACAGCCUUCGGGUUGUAACCCGAGUACGCCUGUGACGAAGCGUAAGUGACGGUAAUGGAUUAGGAAGCACCGGCUAAGUACGUG
This 468-nucleotide ribosomal RNA is filed under the name uncultured bacterium. RNAcentral describes it as "partial 16S ribosomal RNA". It matches the Rfam family "Bacterial small subunit ribosomal RNA", at positions 28 to 507 of the family's 1533-position model. The record is from RNAcentral.